AACGAACGCUGGCGGCAUGCCUAACACAUGCAAGUCGAACGAGACCUUCGGGUCUAGUGGCGCACGGGUGCGUAACGCGUGGGAACCUGCCUUUAGGUUCGGAAUAACUCAGAGAAAUUUGAGCUAAUACCGGAUGAUGUCUUCGGACCAAAGAUUUAUCGCCUUUGGAUGGGCCCGCGUUGGUUUAGCUAGUUGGGGGGGUAAAGGCCUACCAAGGCGACGAUCCAUAGCUGGUCUGAGAGGAUGAUCAGCCACACUGGGACUGAGACACGGCCCAGACUCCUACGGGAGGCAGCAGUGGGGAAUAUUGGACAAUGGGCGAAAGCCUGAUCCAGCAAUGCCGCGUGAGUGAUGAAGGCCUUAGGGUUGUAAAGCUCUUUUACCCGAGAUGAUAAUGACAGUAUCGGGAGAAUAAGCUCCGGCUAACUCCGUG
This 433-nucleotide ribosomal RNA is filed under the name uncultured bacterium. RNAcentral describes it as "partial 16S ribosomal RNA". It matches the Rfam family "Bacterial small subunit ribosomal RNA", at positions 29 to 507 of the family's 1533-position model. The record is from RNAcentral.